ACAGAGACACUUGUAAACUCGGUUGGGUUGCGCCCACGAAUGCCAUUCCGGAAUGAGGUUUCAGUGCGAUGAGUGUCGCAGUUUCUGUUGGACAGUUCUUGAGCCGGCUACCCUCGGGGUGGUGUAUGGCGCAGCUAGAUACAGGCAGGGUGGGUCCGUUUUGGGCAGCCCGGGUGAGAUAGUGAGUGACGCUUUUCCCUACCUUUAGUGAGGUUGUGACGUGAGUGGAGUCUUAGCCGUCCUGUUGGACCUUUUCUGAAACCGACUACUCUUGAGAUACGGUGUAGUCUAAUUAGGCGAGACGGGUGUAUUCACAGUCUUUGGAGAGUUUUCUCCGCCGGUUACUCUUGAGAUACGGUAUAGUCUAGUAGACGAGACGGGUGUAUUCACAGUCUCUAGAGAGUCUUCCCCGCCGGUUACUCUUGAGCUACGGUGUCACCUAAUUAGACGGGAUGGGUGUAUUCACAGUUCCUAGAGAGUUUUCUCCACAAGCUACUCCUGGAGUAGGUUACGGGUUCGAUCCGACAGGCGGGACGGGUGUGUUCACAGUCCCUAGUGAGAUUGAGUCAGUUGUGACUUUUACUACAGUUGGUUAGUGUAGAUCAUGCUAGUGUAGCGAUAUGUAGCUGUAGAUUUUUUUCCAGCUUUUCCUGCUAGCCUUGUUACUUUCUAUAGACUUAGUGGGUGGACCGAUGAUUGUUGAGGGCUGCACCCACUGAGGACUACUUGUUUCUACAGUAGUUCUCACGCCCAUUUGUUACCCCGUUUUUACAAAGCCAUCGUCUUCGGCCGCUGCUGUUGCUGAUCAGGAUAUAGGCAAGGGCGUCACGAAUUAGAGCCCUACCCGAGGAGCAGAGCUAGAGGCACCCCUACUGCAGGUAGAUGUUUUGGUUUGGGUUCAUGUACAUACAGACUUUUAACUCGCCAGCGCGAGUAGUUUUGUACUCUGGGAUUCAGUGUAUGUAUAUGAAACUCGGUUUCUUUUAAUUUACUAGUUCUUCUAGCAGCUCUAUACUACUGUUUGUAGUAUUGUAUAUUUUAUAGGUACAGCUGUCGUUUCGUAUACAGGGAAAAUUCCUUUGUAUACGCUGGAUUUGUCGGCGUGCCCGGGAACGUGUAAUCCGGGACGUGACAGAUUAAGUUGGUAUCAGAGCUUAGCAUUAGGUCGUUGGGACCUAGAGGACCUAAGUUUGGCAAAUCUUAGAAAAGCAAGACGCAAGAGGCGUAAUUUAAUUGCGAAAGUCACUGAUUAGUUGUUCUAACUCCUUCAUGAGUGGGGUGAGUGAUUAAUGGAGUACCUGUUUUGGCCUGAGAAACUAUGUUGGCUGCAGACGACAUAAUUUUGGAGGAAAACAGGGGCUGCCUUCUAGACUUUCGUUGAUUGGGUCGAGAGUGUUUGUGUGUUAUCUGACCCCGUUUUGUUUCUUUCAGAUCGUUGUCGAGGUCGACCGUCGACCAGGGAUCGAGUCGCACCGCUAAAGAUGCCUGACCAGGCAGAGCUGAGUGCACGACCGGAGGCAAGUACACCCCCUGAUUUGAGAGAGCUGUUGGCUGCCCUGACAGAGGUGAUCAAGCAGCAGAGUGUACUAUCGCAGAGGAUUUAUGAGAUUAUCACUCAGUGGUCAGGCGUUGAGACAGGAGCAUUUGUGCAGCAGGCACUCUUGGUGGGAUACGGAGUUACACCCGUCCAGGAGCGGACUGUGGCACUGGGGCAGAGCCAAGACAGGAAGUGUCAUUUUCCAGAUGAUGGAGGACAAGCGAGUAGCAGACGUCCGCUGAGGCUUUCUCGAUCUUGCUCUCAGGGUCGUAGUUCAUCGGGGCGUCAGCAUUCCAGGGGAUUGCUUCAGCAGGGACCGUCACCGAGGACGCUGCGGUGCGUGAUUUGUGGAGGACCACACUGGCCCCGACAAUGUGAGCAAAAAGAGGGCCACUGCUAUACUUGUGGACAGCCAGGAUAUGUGAGGUCACCGUGUCCUAGAGCUACAUUUCCAGCACUAUCCAUUACAUCAGCGUAGCCAGCUGACCAGUAGACUUUUGGAGCACCACCGAGUUACCGCCGGGAGGACUCUUCAGCAGCCGAUCGUGUAGUAGCAGGUAUCACUUUGAUUUUCGGCAUUUGUACUCGUACUUUAGUUGGUACCGGUGCCUCGCAUUCUUUUGUUAGCCGAGCAUUUGCAUUGUUGCAUGGUCUAGAGUUAGGGUCAUUGUCUUUGGCACGAGAGAUGCAUAUCCCCGACCAUGUUUUACAGGUUGCAGAGUGUUGUUGGUCGUGUCCGGUGCAGUUAGAUUCGUGGUUUAUGCCCGCAGAUCUGUUGGUGUUAGAGCAGCUGCAGGACUUCGACAUCGUGCUCGGUAUGGAUUGGCUGGCGUGGUACUAUGCUACGAUAGACUGUGGAGCGAGGACGGUGACGUUCUGCGAGCCAGGCCAGGAGGAGUUUACGUUCGGAGGCUGCAGGAGUACGUUGUUUGCCACAUGGAUAUCUUCGGCGAGGGCUCGACAGAUGCUGAGUAGUGGGUGUAUCGCUUUUCUAGCGACAGUUGUAGAGGUACCUACGGCGGCGCCGGGACUCGAGGAUAUCCCUAUAGGCUGCGAGUUUCCGAAUGUAUUUCCCCCUGAGUUGACUACGUUGCCGCCGAAGAGGGAGAUUGAGUUUAUGAUUGAUGUAGUUCCUAAAACUGCACCAAUCUCGAAGGUACCUUAUAGGAUGACGCCAGUAGAGCUAAGAGAGCUAAAGGCGCAGCUGCAGGAUUUGAUGAUAGAGGGUUUGUGAGACCCAGUAUUUUCGCCUUGGGGGGCGCUGGUGUUGUUUGUGAAGUAGAAGGAUGGUUCACUUAGGCUGUGUGUGAAUUACCGGGAGCUGAAUAAAGUGACCAUCAAGAAUAUGUAUCCCUUACCACAUAUUGAUGAUUUGUUUGAUCAGUUGCAGAAAUCUUAUGUCUUUUCGAAAAUUGAUCUCCAGUCAGGUUACCACCAGUUGAGGGUGAGGGCAGAGGAUGUUCCCAAGAUGGCUUUUUGGACUCGGUACGGGCAUUAUGAGUUUACAGUGAUGCCUUUUGGAUUGACAAAUGCCCUUGCUGCAUUCAUGGAUUUGAUAAACAGAGUGUUCAAGCCGUUCUUGGAUAAGUUUGUGGUAGUCUUCAUCGACGAUAUCCUGAUUUACUCCCAGAGCGAUGCUGAGCAUGAGGAGCAUUUGAGAAUUGUGCUACAGCUUCUGCGAGAGAAGAAGUUGUAUGCCAAGUUGAAGAAGUACGAGUUCUGGUUGUGGGAGGUGCUUUCUUGGGCCACGUGAUUUCAGCUGAGGGCGUAGCAGUGGACCCGAAGAAGAUUGAGGCGAUUCGAGAUUAGCCUAGACCGACGACGAUGACUGAGGUACGGAGUUUCCUAGGACUGGCAGGAUAUUACCGUCGGUUUGUGGAAGGCUUUGCGAAGCUUUCCACGCCCCUCACACGCUUGACGCGGAAGGGAAUUCGAUUUGUCUAGAGUGACGACUGUCAGAGGUGCUUUGACGAGUUGAGACUGAGGUUGACAUCGGCUCCUAUCCUUACCCUUCCGGUGAUGGGGGAAGGAUUCGUGAUCUUCAGUGAUGCAUCGCACAGUGGACUUGGCUGUGUGCUGAUGCAGUAUGGUAGGGUAAUUGCUUAUGCUUCACGGCAGUUAAAGGAUUAUGAGAAGAAUUACUCUACGCAUAAAUUGGAGCUUGCCGCGGUGGUAUUUGCUUUGAAGUUCUGGCGGUAUUACUUGUACGGCGAGCACUGCGAGGUCUUUACUAAUCAUAAAAGUCUCAAGUGUCUGUUCACACAGCGGGAGCUGAACCUGAGGCAGCGCCGGUGGUCGGAGUUACUGAAGGACUAUGAUAUUAGUAUUCAGUAUCAUCCCGGCAAGGCGAAUGUUGUGGCAGAUGCGUUGAGCAUGAAGUCAGUGCAGAGCCUGAGUUUGACGAUCACUGAACAGAGACCCCUACUCGAGGAGCUACAGCGGCUGGGACUCGAGAUAGUACCUCCUGGUUCUACGGCGAGGCUGACGUCUCUAGUUUUGCAGCCCACUCUGUUGGAUAGGAUCCGAGAGAAACAUAGUGGAGAUCCGUACUUGUUGAGGAUUAGAGAGUAGCUAGACAGAGGGCAGGCUGAGGGUUUUGCUGUGAACAGUUCGGAAGUACUGCGGUACAGGGACCGACUGUGCGUGCUUGUGGAUUCAAAGAUUCGAGCAGACAUUCUGAGAGAGGCUCCUUGUUCUCCUUAUACGGUUCACCCUGGGGGAACCAAGAUGUAUAAGGAUUUAAAGGCACAGUUCUGGUGGCAUGGAAUGAAGAGGGACAUUGGCAGAUAUGUGGCUCAGUGUUUGACUUGCCAACAGGUGAAGGCCGAGCAGCAGAUACCUGCUGGCAAGCUUCAGAGUCUGCGAGUGCCAGAGUGGAAGUGGGAGUACAUCACGAUGGAUUUUAUCGUGGGAUUGCCUAGAGCACAGAGUGGUUGUGAUGCCAUUUGGGUGAUAAUGGACAGACUGACCAAGUCUGCUCACUUCCUACCAGUUCAGACUAUCUGGUCCAAAGAGAGACUCGCGCAGCUAUACCUGGAUGAGAUCGUCAGGCUCCACGGCGUGCCAGUGUCGAUUGUGUCAGACAGAGACCCGAGGUUUGUAUCCCAGUUUUGGAGGAGCCUUCAGACAGCCUUGGGCACUCAACUGCAUUUCAGCACGGCGUUCCACCCACAAAUUGAUGGUCAAUCAGAGAAGACCAUACAGACUCUAGAGGACAUGCUGAGGGCAUGCGUCUUGGAUUUUGGAGGAGGGUGGUAUCGACAUGUGAGACUAGUUUAGUUUGCGUAUGACAACAGCUAUCAAACGAGCAUUCAGAUGGCUCCGUUUGAGGCGUUGUAUGGACGUAGAUGUCGAUCCUCUCUGUUUUGGAGUGAUGUGGGUGAGAGGAGGACACUUGGACCGGAGAUUCUACUUGAGGCUGAGGAAAAGGUGAGAGUCGUUGACGACACCUUUUGACAGCACAGAGCCGCCAGAGGAGCUACGUCGAUACCAGGAGACGAGACUUGAAGUUUCAGGUUGGAGAUCAUGUUUUCCUCAAAGUCUCGCCGUCCAGAGGGAUACGCUGAUUUGGGGUACGUGGAAAGCUCAGUCCACGGUUUGUUGGUCAUUUCGAGGUAUUGGAGCGAGUUGGACCGGUUGCAUACAGGAUAACUCUACCCCCGCGAUUUGCUGGCAUACACGAUGUUUUCCACGUCUCAGUAUUGAGGAGAUACGUUUUCGAUCCCUCUCACGUAAUCGACUUCACUCCACUAGAGAUUAGCGAGGAUCUGAGAUACGAGGAGCAACCGUUGCGGAUUCUUGCUCGGGAGACGAAAGAAUUGCGCAAUCAGGUCAUUCUGUAUGUGAAAGUGCAGUGAAGCGAUCACGAGGAACGGGAGGCGACUUGGGAGCCUGAGACGGGGAUGAAGGAGGCAUAUCCCUAGUUGUUUGAUGCCUGAGCUGAGGUGUACUUAAGUUUCGCGGACGAAACUUUUUGUAGAGUGGAAGGAUGUGAGAUUCCCGGUGUACUGUUGUGGAGGCUUGUCGGCAGCUCUGGAGAGUGUCGGGACAAGUCCGAGUCGCGUUGGCGUCAAAUAGACGCAAAAUGGACUCCGUACGACGCGAGGGCAGCUUAUAGCGAAGAAAUCUGUAAAACAGCAGAUUUCUCUGCUUGCUGUACUGGUACAACUAGCGUGGCUGUACCGGUACAACCAGCGAGGCUGCGCGCAGGUUGCCCUCGGGUUGGAUCUUGUACCGGUACAGGAGCCCGUGUGCCGGUACAAGGGGGUAGGUGAGAGGGUAUUUGAGUAAAUUUCCACCUCGUUUGUAUCAGCAGCUCUCCCUCUCUCUAUAUAGCUUUGUGUAGAGAGAGAGAGGAGUCCUUUUGCUUCAUCUUCAUCUCUCUCUCACUCUCAUCCGGUUGAAGGCAAGGAAGAAGCUCGGUUGGAAGGUUUGUCGCCGACGUCGCGCUGCAGGACCGUUUGAGCACACUUUUGACGCCGGGGUAGCGCAAGGAGGCCGGGCGAGCGUGGGUUUUCGCCGUUCUUGCUGUCGCAUUGGUGCUUGGCGUUGUCGAGGUGGGUAAUUCAGCAUUUCCAUUUGUUUUUGGGCAAGUUCUUACUACUUCGAACUCAAGUGAUGCUGUUUUGCUGAAAUUCAUCGUCGACUGUUAGUAUUUCAGCUCGUACUCGACGCAGGAGCAUCGGAUUUUGACGAGACUUGGUUCGCUGGAUUCAGGACUUCGAGAGGAAUCCACUAAGUCCUUACUUGCGGGAUUUGGUGAAGUUUAUCUUGGUCGAAGCUCUGUUUUACUCUACUGUUGUGGAUUUUGGACUGAAUUGAGGAUUUUUGAUGUUUAUAGUUGGAGAUAGCUCGAUUUCGGGACUCGGACAUUUUCAGUCGAUCCAGCAGGUUGUUCAGCAGCCGAGGGAGUUCCGUGCUGCCAGGGAUUAGCGACCGAGGUGGGUUAAUCAUCGGCUUACUCGUAAGUGCAUAUAUAGUCAACAUGUAUUAGCGGAAUUCUUUUGCGUGUCGCAAUUGCUCGGUUCGUUGAUUUAGUUUUGUAAUAAUUUGAAUUGGAGCUUAGUCUAUUUAUCUAUGGAUAUACAUACAUGUUGGACUUGGAUAAGACUUAGGAGAAAACUUACAAUUUUAAUUGUCAUAUGUUAAACUACCUGAUUUAGCCCUAGGGGCUGUUGUAUGAUUUUAUACUGUUGCAGUAUCAUCAUAGUGAGUAUCCCAGGUAGAUUAGAAUGUAUUUACGUUCGUGCUGGGAUGCCGAGUAAAUUUUUUUAUAGUAGCUUUCAGGCUGUUCCGGACUGUUGGGGGCCAUCGGGAUUGACGGUGGACCCGUAUAGCCUUUUUGGCGACGGAUUGUGCCGAGGGCACGUGAUCUAUUAGUUGUUAGACCAGUUAGAGUUGGUUACUUGACCUUAGCCUAUGAGAGCAGUACGAACUUGACAGAGACACUUGCAAACUCGGUUGGGUCGCGCCCACGAAUGCCAUUUCGGAAUGAUGUUUCAGUGCGAUGAGUGUCGCAGUUUCUGUUGGACAGUUCUUGAGCCGGCUACCCUCGGGGUGGUGUACGGCGCAGCUAGAUACAGGUAGGGUGGGUCCGUUUUGGGCAGCCCGGGUGAGAUAGUGAGUGAUGCUUUUCCCUACCUUUAGUGAGGUUGUGACGUGAGUGGAGUCUUAGCCGUCCUGUUGGACCUUUUCUGGAACCGACUACUUUGAGAUACGGUGUAGUCUAAUUAGGCGAGACGGGUGUAUUCACAGUCUUUAGAGAGUUUUCUCCGCCGGUUACUCUUGAGAUACGGUGUAGUCUAGUAGACGAGACGGAUGUAUUCACAGUCUCUAGAGAGUCUUCUCCGCCGAUUACUCUUGAGCUACGGUGUCAACUAACUAGACGGGAUGGGUGUAUUCACAGUCCCUAGAGAGUUUUCUCCACCAGCUACUCCUGGAGUAGGUUACGGGUUCGAUCCGACAGGCGGGACGGGUGUGUUCACAGUCCCUAGUGAGAUUGAGUCAGUUGUGACUUUUACUACAGUUUGUUAGUGUAGAUCAUGCUAGUGUAGCAAUAUGUAGCUAUAGAUUUCUUUCCAGCUUUUCCUGCUAGCCUUGUUACCUUCUGUAGACUUAGUGG
This 7658-nucleotide long non-coding RNA is filed under the name Ananas comosus (pineapple). Its description in RNAcentral is "long non-coding RNA (ACOM_LNC001169)". Lineage: Eukaryota; Viridiplantae; Streptophyta; Magnoliopsida; Poales; Bromeliaceae. The record is from RNAcentral.